This is a long non-coding RNA of Tympanuchus pallidicinctus (lesser prairie-chicken), 2775 nucleotides long. RefSeq lists it as uncharacterized. The record is from RefSeq and is a predicted model, not a curated record. Lineage: Eukaryota; Metazoa; Chordata; Aves; Galliformes; Phasianidae. The transcript has 3 exons.
GUUCUGUGCCUGCCUGUUCCAUCGCGGCUUUUUGGAAGCAACUGCUUCAGCGCUGCCAUCCUUAUCAAAGCAUUUGUCCACACGUGGCUUUGAGCUGAAUCAGAGGGAAUAGGUCAGAUUUGUAACAACCUCCUGUGUGCCUUUGUUAGGAGGUCUUUGUGCUAAUGGAAGGCACUACAGCUUUAGCUUAGCUUCUCCACAACCCCUCUCACUGCAACAAAGCCCCAUGGAGAUAAAGCUGCAAGAGUAUGGAGCGCUCCCCCUUGCACCAGCAGUUUUUGUGCUGUUCGUGUUAUCAAGAAACGGCGCCCAAACUCUCGGCUCCUGGCUCACCGCCUGCUGCAGAAGUGGUGCAGCAGUGCAAGUAAGGAAAAUGAUUUAUGAUCAAGAAGGGAGCAUCUGGCUAAACCUUUCCUGUGCUGACAGGCACUACUGAUCUGGAAGACAUUUGGGAAGACCAAAAGCAGUGUGACUUUAACAGAUGGAUCACAAUCGCUGGCAACCUUCAGAGGACUACAAACGAGGUCUGAGGUUAUUUGUUCUAAACUGUCAUUUUUUUCCUGGUAUUAUGUAAGUGAAAAUGGAAAAUAAGCUCUUCAGCAUCAGGUGUUGCUCACUGUCAUUCAACUGCUCGUUAAUUAUUGUCAGGUGUGUGAAAAGAAAAUCAGAAUGCCAGAAUGCAUCACAGUCUCAGAGGCAGUCAGAGCUCUGUCAGCACUGCACUCCUGUCCGGCUCUCCUCCACAGCCUGACUGCUGCACAGCACUACCAACAGGUCCCAAUUUCUGUUUCUCAGCCCCCAACACACCACUGCACGUUCACACACCCCUGUGGGGUUCUUAAAACUGUAGAAACAAACGCCUGUAAGAGAGCUGCCAACUUCUAUGAGGCAGAGCCACCGCCUGCAGCUGAAAACAAGUCUCGACAGCUGCCACCUCUUUGGAAAGGACACCUGAACGUGGAACACAAUCCAUCACAGAUAACGCGCUCAGAGGACGUGUUUUGUUUCAGUGUGUGCAGAACAUUUGCUGCAGGCAGCGCUUCGCAUCGCAUGCGACACAACAAAAGCAAAAUGCCUCCAAUUCCUUCUUCCUCUUCUGCCAUCGACGCCAGGCAAGUAUUCCUAAACCCCAAGUUCUCCGAGGUACAUUAAACCCACAGGAUGGCAGUAUGAGCAGCAUUCCUUCGUGUUUUCUGUUUCCUUACCAGUGUCUUCCUCAGUGUAACUCCUGAAGCAAGCCCUCAUUGGAGUAACCGAUAAAGUGACUUCUUCUUGACUCGUUGGAAAGUGAACCAUUAUAUCAGCCAGCAGCCUAUGAAGAUGAAUUUAGCACUAAAAUGAUUUACAUGAGACAAGUCAUUGUCUAGCAAUGGCAAAGGUGUGGAUUCAAAUCGUGGACUAUGUGCUUCUCAAGCUGGCAGCAGGAUUAAUGGCACAACCACCCCUGAUCAAAUCCAGCUCCUGAAGCUGUUAUGUGAAAUAUCCAACAUCACAGCAAGGCAUUUAGCAGCAAUUCACCAUUUCUGAGUGUGGGCCCUACCCACAUUUUGGUCAUGUUAGUGACAGCUGGAGCAGCACUGUCCUCUGGAUUCUUGUUAUUCUUUUCCCCAGAACAAAACAUUUGAAUGUUCAUUACCUGGAGUGGGCUCUGAGGACAUUUGGACACAUGUGCUUUGCAAAAACAGCCUGCAAUGGGUCACAUUCUUGAAAAGCCAGAUUAUGUGUUUUUACAAUACCUAGGUAUAAAAUAUGUGAAUGAAAAUCAAUGCUGGUCUAGAAUUCUAACUUUUUAAUAUUAAUUGCUCUUCCAAGACAUCUCAACAAAGGAAAUAAAUGACUCACUCUAGCUGUGUAGCAAUAUCUCACCCACAAAUAGAAAACCAAAUUCUGGUGCCCUCUGCCUUCCUUCAUCCUCCUCGUUAUAUCCUCAAGUCUCUGACAUUUUUAAGAAUUCACAGCAAAUGACUUCACAGCAACAGAUGCAGGAAGAAAACCUUCAACAUUUAAUUGUUACAGCAAUAUAAAUGCUGGUGGAAAACAAAGGACAAUUAACAAGUACACAUAAUUACUGACCGGAUAAAAGUCAGUCUGGGAAAUGCUGUUAUAACUGCUUUUUAGCAAGGCAAUGUCACGACAUAAAUUAUGAUGUGAAGAGGCUGAAAGCGUUUGGCAUAAUGUCCCAUCAGUGACACUCAGUUAAUAAUUACACCUCGUCCUGCUGUCAGACUGCUCCUGGUUGUGGAAAUGCACUCUAUGUAUCACGUACCAUUUCUGCAGAGGAGCUGAAAAGUUAUGUGGCGAUCUUUAGCGUUUGUGUAAAUGCUGCAUUUCUCCACGUGCCUUUCCAGCACGUUUACACAUCUGAAUAUAGGAAGAACUGACUGAAAAAAAGCAUACAAUCAGUGCAGAGGUUACUCUCUAAGACAUUUUGCAGUGUUAUUUCUCUCAUGCAGUUCAUCCCCAGCUCCUGCUUUUAUGACUGUUCUGUAAGCAAAGCGCAGGCUGCUGGCGUUGAUCUUUGCUGCCCUCACCCACCCACAGCCCUGUUUGCAGAACAGUGUGUCAAUGUUCUCCAGCUCACGCUGUUCUCAAAGGCUAUAGGGGAAACCCUCAUCAGACAGAAACACAGCAUUCCUUCACCCAAGAUGAGGCUGAUUCAGACUUUGGAAUCUGCAAGGGCUGAGGCGCAGCCGUGCAGCAGUAAUGUUGAAAAAACAUGGAUGAGAAGAAGACAUACGCGUAUGCUGACCGAGAAGAAUUCACUGAUCUUAAGGC